ACAGCCGUAGCUCAGCUCGUAGAGCAUCAAAUCGCCAAAUGGCAUUUGAGAUGCCUGUUCAAGUCAGGCCGGUUGUA
Hymenopellis radicata is the source of this 77-nucleotide non-coding RNA. Lineage: Eukaryota; Fungi; Basidiomycota; Agaricomycetes; Agaricales; Physalacriaceae. The record is from the annotation of a GenBank genome assembly.